UACGCUCAGGCCCGGGAGGAGGGCACUA
RNAcentral lists this small RNA (28 nucleotides) under Bombyx mori (domestic silkworm). RNAcentral's name for it is "ovarian small RNA-21103". The record is from RNAcentral. Lineage: Eukaryota; Metazoa; Arthropoda; Insecta; Lepidoptera; Bombycidae.